Molecule: ribosomal RNA, 467 nt
Filed under: uncultured bacterium
Lineage: Bacteria
Description: partial 16S ribosomal RNA
Rfam family: Bacterial small subunit ribosomal RNA
Source: RNAcentral
GACGAACGCUGGCGGCGUGCUUAACACAUGCAAGUCGAACGGAAAGGCCCUGCUUUUGUGGGGUGCUCGAGUGGCGAACGGGUGAGUAACACGUGAGUAACCUGCCCUUGACUUUGGGAUAACUUCAGGAAACUGGGCUAAUACCGGAUAAGAGCUCCUGCUGCCUGGUGGGGGGUGGGAAGGUUCGGCGGUUGGGGGUGGACUCGCGGCUUAUCAGCUUGUUGGUGGGGUAGGGGCUUACCAAGGCUUUGACGGGUAGCCGGCCUGAGAGGGUGACCGGCCACAUUGGGACUGAGAUACGGCCCAGACUCCUACGGGAGGCAGCAGUGGGGAAUAUUGCACAAUGGGCGGAAGCCUGAUGCAGCAACGCCGCGUGCGGGAUGACGGCCUUCGGGUUGUAAACCGCUUUCGCCUGUGACGAAGCGUGAGUGACGGUAAUGGGUAAAGAAGCACCGGCUAACUACGUG